AGUGAACGCUGGCGGUAGGCCUAACACAUGCAAGUCGAACGGCAGCACAGUAAGAGCUUGCUCUUACGGGUGGCGAGUGGCGGACGGGUGAGGAAUACAUCGGAAUCUACUUUUUCGUGGGGGAUAACGUAGGGAAACUUACGCUAAUACCGCAUACGACCUACGGUUGAAAGCAUGGGAUCUUCGGACCUUGCGCGAUUGAAUGAGCCGAUGUCGGAUUAGCUAGUUGGCGGGUUAAAGGCCCACCAAGGCGACGAUCCGUAGCUGGUCUGAGAGGAUGAUCGGCCACACUGGAACUGAGACACGGUCAAGACUCCUACGGGAGGCAGCAGUGGGGAAUAUUGGACAAUAGGCGCAAGCCUGAUCCAGCCAUACCGCGUGGGUGAAGAAGGCCUUCGGGUUGUAAAGCCCUUUUGUUGGGAAAGAAAAGCAGCAGGUUAAUACCACGCUGUUCUGACGGUACCCAAAGAAUAAGCACCGGCUAACUUCGUG
This 492-nucleotide ribosomal RNA is filed under the name uncultured bacterium. RNAcentral's name for it is "partial 16S ribosomal RNA". It matches the Rfam family "Bacterial small subunit ribosomal RNA", at positions 29 to 507 of the family's 1533-position model. The record is from RNAcentral.